RNAcentral lists this long non-coding RNA (359 nucleotides) under Salmo salar (Atlantic salmon). RNAcentral describes it as "lncRNA (ENSSSAG00000103477.1)". The record is from RNAcentral. Lineage: Eukaryota; Metazoa; Chordata; Actinopteri; Salmoniformes; Salmonidae.
UCCUCUGUUACCUGUAGGUGCUGUUUCCUCCAGUCAGUUCAUCCUAACACUGUUCCUCUGCUACCUGUAGGUGCUGUUUCCUCCAGUCAGUUCAUCCUAACACUGUUCCUCUGUUACCCGUAGGUGCUGUUUCCUCCAGUCAGUUCAUCCUAACACUGUUCCUCUGCUAUCUGUAGGUGCUGUUUCCUCCAGUCAGUUCAUCCUAACACUGUUCCUCUGCUACCUGUAGGUGCUGUUUCCUCCAGUCAGUUCAUCCUAACACUGUUCCUCUGUUACCUGUAGGUGCUGUUUCCUCCAGUCAGUUCAUCCUAACACUGUUCCUCUGCUACCUGUAGGUGCUGUUUCCUCCAGUCAGUUCA